GAUGAACGCUGGCGGCGUGCUUAACACAUGCAAGUCGAACGGAAAGGCCAGUGCUUGCACUGGUACUCGAGUGGCGAACGGGUGAGUAACACGUGGGUGAUCCGCCCUGCACUUCGGGAUAAGCCUGGGAAACUGGGUCUAAUACCGGAUAGGACAAUGGUUUGGAUGCCGUUGUGGAAAGUUUUUUCGGUGUGGGACGAGCUCGCGGCCUAUCAGCUUGUUGGUGGGGUAAUGGCCUACCAAGGCGUCGACGGGUAGCCGGCCUGAGAGGGUGUACGGCCACAUUGGGACUGAGAUACGGCCCAGACUCCUACGGGAGGCAGCAGUGGGGAAUAUUGCACAAUGGGCGCAAGCCUGAUGCAGCGACGCCGCGUGGGGGAUGACGGCCUUCGGGUUGUAAACUCCUUUCGCUAGGGACGAAGCGUAUUUGUGACGGUACCUGGAGAAGAAGCACCGGCUAACUACGUG
Molecule: ribosomal RNA, 468 nt
Filed under: uncultured bacterium
Lineage: Bacteria
Description: partial 16S ribosomal RNA
Rfam family: Bacterial small subunit ribosomal RNA
Source: RNAcentral